RNAcentral lists this ribosomal RNA (501 nucleotides) under uncultured bacterium. RNAcentral's name for it is "partial 16S ribosomal RNA". It matches the Rfam family "Bacterial small subunit ribosomal RNA", at positions 30 to 523 of the family's 1533-position model. The record is from RNAcentral.
AUUGAACGCUGGCGGCAUGCCUUACACAUGCAAGUCGAACGGCAGCACGGGUGCUUGCACCUGGUGGCGAGUGGCGAACGGGUGAGUAAUACAUCGGAACGUACCUUAUCGUGGGGGAUAACGCAGCGAAAGUUGCGCUAAUACCGCAUACGCCCUGAGGGGGAAAGCGGGGGACCGUAAGGCCUCGCGCGAUUAGAGCGGCCGAUGUCUGAUUAGCUUGUUGGUGAGGUAAAAGCUCACCAAGGCGAUGAUCAGUAGCUGGUCUGAGAGGACGAUCAGCCACGCGGGGACUGAGACACGGCCCAGACUCCUACGGGAGGCAGCAGUGGGGAAUUUUGGACAAUGGGGGCAACCCUGAUCCAGCAAUGCCGCGUGAGUGAAGAAGGCCUUCGGGUUGUAAAGCUCUUUUGUCAGGGAAGAAACAGCAGCUCUAACACAGUCUGCGAAUGACGGUACCUGAAGAAUAAGCACCGGCUAACUACGUGCCAGCAGCCGCGGUAA